Oxyura jamaicensis (ruddy duck) is the source of this 1583-nucleotide long non-coding RNA. RefSeq lists it as uncharacterized. The record is from RefSeq and is a predicted model, not a curated record. The transcript has 2 exons. NCBI's taxonomy places the organism in Eukaryota, Metazoa, Chordata, Aves, Anseriformes, Anatidae.
CUCAGGGUGGCUCUCCUGGGUUCUCCUGUGGACUCCUCUGUGACUUGCUCUCAUAACCUAUAUUUUAUAUACCUUCUGCCUUCAUUCCUUGUGUUUAUAAUUCAGUCUUUUUUUUUUUUUUUUCCUUUUAUUUUCAUUCUACUUUAUUUUAGUUCUUCAGUGCCCAGUGGUUAUGUAGCCAGCCCAUACUGCAUGAUUUUUCUUGGCUGAUGAUGCAACCUCUUCUUACCACCUGUAUUCAAACCAGGCUCAGCACUUGGCAGGGCACAGCUGCUCCUCUUCACUCAGGAAGAUCAUUUCUUUAAUCAUUUCUGGUGAACAGAGCCCCAACAGCUCUUCCAGAGGAGCACAGCUCUCCAAGAAUCAGGCUGAUGAUUACUUUCUGACCUUCUCUGGCCCAUGCUCUUCUUGUUCAAGGUGCAGGCUAGAGAAGUUACUUCUCAGCAGCAGGAGGUCUUGCUGGAUGUGCUGUCCUGCAGCGUGCUCGCCUUGGCCCAGGUGCCCUGCAGCUGUGCCCUGGGGGAGAGGAGCUGGGGCUGUGGCAGCAGCAGUGUGACCCAUGGGACGAGCAACAAUCCUCUGUGAGCUCCCAUGACUUGAUGUGCACGGCUGCUUGAAGAGGAGUUGGCAUCCUAUGUGCCAAAAAGUUCAUCUGUUCUCUCUCUGUGUAGUAAUUGCAGUAAAAAUGGCCUUCUGUUUAAUGGCUGCAAAACUUGAUUAUUGCAGAAAACGGUCUUUUAGUGAAGGUGGACUAAAACACAGCUUUAGCUCCACUAAAAUGAGAGAUUUCCCGCAUCCCCAGCAUCCCAUCAAAUGGUCUCAUUCAUAUUUCAUUGUGCUGAUGACUAUAUUUGCUAAGAAAUCUCUUUGUUUAAUGAUCAAUCAGGGAAUUUAAUUCAUUAAUCUAAAAGCACUCUGCAGCAUAAUCAAGCCUCAUCUACAGUUUACAAAUAGAGUUCUAAAAAAGAAGAAGAUUCAGUGGCUUGACUGCAUAAAUCUGUCACCCAGUGAGAAACAGAACCCAGAUUUCUUGAGUCUCAUCUCUCUGCUCGCUUCGUGAACCACGGCCACCUCAUCACUGCUUCAGAAUGAUAAAUGCCUCCCAUUUAUGAGCACAUAUACAUGUUCUGGUAAUACAGUAAACAAUGAAGCCUUUCACUAUUAAGUGAAAGUAUUCACAAGAGGCCAAGCCUGUGGUCCUUACGUAGACAAAGCUCUUGUGGGCUUGAGUCAGAAUUUUGCUUUGAGUGAUUACUCGAUCGAGUUCAUAAUGUGUAUUUAAACCUUCUCAGGGGAGGAAGACAUCUAGCUUGAAACAAAUCAGAAGUGAGAUUUUUGUUCUGUGGAAUGAAAGAGACUAAAUGCAGUAUCAGCGUGGAUGAGGUCAUAUGAGAAAACGCCCUUACAGCAGAAGUGAGCUGGCUUUGCUGUUGCUAAAAUUGCUUUCCUUGGGAUCAGUUAGCACAUUUGCCUGUUAUAGUUAAUCUGCCUGGUGACUUAUAGCAGAGGCAUUGCUUUAGCUGCUCAGUGUAUUAUGUAUGUAUGUAAUGACUGCUAUUCCUAAGUGAUAUUCUACAAAAUAA